CUGUCUCUUGCUUCAACAGUGUUUAGACGGAACAG
Heterocephalus glaber (naked mole-rat) is the source of this 35-nucleotide non-coding RNA. Lineage: Eukaryota; Metazoa; Chordata; Mammalia; Rodentia; Bathyergidae. The record is from Rfam.